This 406-nucleotide ribosomal RNA is filed under the name uncultured bacterium. RNAcentral's name for it is "partial 16S ribosomal RNA". It matches the Rfam family "Bacterial small subunit ribosomal RNA", at positions 30 to 526 of the family's 1533-position model. The record is from RNAcentral.
AUUGAACGCUGGCGGCAGGCCUAACACAUGCAAGUCGAACGAGUGGCGGACGGGUGUGUAAUAUCUGGGAAAAUGUUCGAUGGAGGGGGAUAAAUACUGGACACGCUAGCUAAAAUCGCAUACGCUAGGAUGUGCCCCGAUGUGAGUAGCUAGUAGAUGGGGUAAAGCCGCACAUAGGCGAGGAUCCCUAGCGGGUCUGAGAGGAUGACAAGCCACACUGGAACGGAUGCACGGUCCAGACUCCUACGGGAGGCAGCAGUGGGGAAUAUUGCACAAGGGGCGCAAGCCUUAUGCAGCCAUGCCGAGUGUAUGAAGAAGGCCUUCGGGUUGUAAAGUACUUUCAGCGAGUAGGCGUUACUCGCAGAAGAAGCACCGGCUAACUCCGUGCCAGCGGCCGCGGUAAUUC